CGGACGGGUGAGUAACACGUGGGUAACCUACCUAUAAGACUGGGACAACUUCGGGAAACCGGAGCUAAUACCGGAUAAUAUGUUGAACCGCAUGGUUCAAUAGUGAAAGAUGGUUUUGCUAUCACUUAUAGAUGGACCUGCGCCGUAUUAGCUAGUUGGUGAGGUAACGGCUCACCAAGGCAACGAUACGUAGCCGACCUGAGAGGGUGAUCGGCCACACUGGAACUGAGACACGGUCCAG
Molecule: ribosomal RNA, 241 nt
Filed under: uncultured Staphylococcus sp.
Lineage: Bacteria; Bacillati; Bacillota; Bacilli; Caryophanales; Staphylococcaceae
Description: partial 16S ribosomal RNA
Rfam family: Bacterial small subunit ribosomal RNA
Source: RNAcentral